ACAAGUACCGUGAGGGAAAGUUGCAAAGCACUUUGAAGAGAGAGUUAAACAGGACGUGAACCCGGUAGGAUGGAAACGGAUAGAGCCAGCGAAGCCGCUUGCAUUCAGCCAAAGGCCUGGGGCUCCCAGUCGUCGGGUUUCUCAUCGAGCUCGGCGGUUGGCGCUGCCUCGGGUUGAGGUGCACUUGCGGGCGUUUGCGCUGAGACUUGCGUGGCAGCUGUCGGACCCGAGGACUAGAGGCUUCCCUCUGGGUUGAACCUGGUUCCGGUGACGGCUGUUUGCCGUGCUCGUACACGGGGCCUGGGGUGCUCGGCUCUGCGGCGGUUCCCUGGCGGUGGUAUCGCAUGCGAUGCCUAGCCUGGGGGCUGCCGUUGGGCUUGGCCACCGGGCCCGCUCUCGGUGUAGAAGCUGGUCAUCUCUCCGACCCGUCUUGAAACACGGACCAAGGAGUUUAGCGUAUGCGCGAGUCAUUGGGUGCUGAAAACCCAAAGGCGCAAUGAAAGUAAAGGCUCGGCCGCCGGGCUGACAUGCGAGCGGUGGGGCCUCGCAGCCUCGCCGUGCAGCAUGGUCCCGUCGUAGUCGCUUGCGACGCGGCGGAGACAGAGCGUAUGCGCUGAGACCCGAAAGAUGGUGAACUAUUCCUGAGCAGGACGAAGCCAGAGGAAACUCUGGUGGAAGUCCGAAGCGAUUCUGACGUGCAAAUCGAUCGUCUGACUUGGGUAUAGGGGCGAAAGACUAAUCGAACCAUCUAGUAGCUGGUUCCUUCCGA
This 769-nucleotide ribosomal RNA is filed under the name Discocriconemella limitanea. RNAcentral's name for it is "partial large subunit ribosomal RNA". It matches the Rfam family "Eukaryotic large subunit ribosomal RNA", at positions 344 to 964 of the family's 3401-position model. Lineage: Eukaryota; Metazoa; Nematoda; Chromadorea; Rhabditida; Criconematidae. The record is from RNAcentral.